Molecule: ribosomal RNA, 498 nt
Filed under: uncultured bacterium
Lineage: Bacteria
Description: partial 16S ribosomal RNA
Rfam family: Bacterial small subunit ribosomal RNA
Source: RNAcentral
GACGAACGCUGGCGGCGUGCCUAAUACAUGCAAGUCGAGCGGACGAAUCGGAAGCUUGCUUUUGAUUCGUUAGCGGCGGACGGGUGAGUAACACGUGGGCAACCUGCCCUGUAGACGGGGAUAACACCGAGAAAUCGGUGCUAAUACCGGAUAACACGAAAUGUCGCAUGACGUUUCGUUGAAAGACGGCGCAAGCUGUCGCUACAGGAUGGGCCCGCGGCGCAUUGGCUAGUUGGUGAGGUAACGGCUCACCAAGGCGACGAUGCGUAGCCGACCUGAGAGGGUGAUCGGCCACACUGGGACUGAGACACGGCCCAGACUCCUACGGGAGGCAGCAGUAGGGAAUCUUCCGCAAUGGACGAAAGUCUGACGGAGCAACGCCGCGUGAGCGAAGAAGGCCUUCGGGUCGUAAAGCUCUGUUGUUAGGGAAGAACAAGUAACGCAGUAACUGGCGUUACCGUGACGGUACCUAACGAGAAAGCCACGGCUAACUACGUG